Molecule: ribosomal RNA, 497 nt
Filed under: uncultured bacterium
Lineage: Bacteria
Description: bacterial SSU rRNA
Rfam family: Bacterial small subunit ribosomal RNA
Source: RNAcentral
GACGAACGCUGGCGGCGUGCCUAAUACAUGCAAGUCGAGCGGACAGAUAAGGAGCUUGCUCCUUUGAAGUUAGCGGCGGACGGGUGAGUAACACGUGGGCAACCUGCCCUGUAGAUUGGGAUAACUCCGGGAAACCGGGGCUAAUACCGAAUAAUACUUUUUAGCUCAUGCUAGAAAGUUGAAAGAUGGUUCUGCUAUCACUACAGGAUGGGCCCGCGGCGCAUUAGCUAGUUGGUGAGGUAACGGCUCACCAAGGCGACGAUGCGUAGCCGACCUGAGAGGGUGAUCGGCCACACUGGGACUGAGACACGGCCCAGACUCCUACGGGAGGCAGCAGUAGGGAAUCUUCCACAAUGGGCGAAAGCCUGAUGGAGCAACGCCGCGUGAGUGAAGAAGGAUUUCGGUUCGUAAAACUCUGUUGUAAGGGAAGAACAAGUAGCGUAGUAACUGGCGCUACCUUGACGGUACCUUAUUAGAAAGCCACGGCUAACUACGUG